RNAcentral lists this ribosomal RNA (253 nucleotides) under uncultured Oscillospira sp. RNAcentral describes it as "partial 16S ribosomal RNA". It matches the Rfam family "Bacterial small subunit ribosomal RNA", at positions 524 to 776 of the family's 1533-position model. The record is from RNAcentral. Lineage: Bacteria; Bacillati; Bacillota; Clostridia; Eubacteriales; Oscillospiraceae.
UACGUAGGUGGCAAGCGUUGUCCGGAUUUACUGGGUGUAAAGGGCGUGCAGCCGGGCCGACAAGUCAGAUGUGAAAUCCGCGGGCUUAACCCGCGAACUGCAUUUGAAACUAUAGGUCUUGAGUGCCGGAGAGGUAAUCGGAAUUCCUUGUGUAGCGGUGAAAUGCGUAGAUAUACGGAGGAACACCAGUGGCGAAGGCGGCCUGCUGGACAAUAACUGACGCUGAGGCGCGAAAGCGUGGGGAGCAAACAGG